Non-coding RNA from Hordeum vulgare subsp. vulgare (domesticated barley), 136 nucleotides. The record is from Rfam. NCBI's taxonomy places the organism in Eukaryota, Viridiplantae, Streptophyta, Magnoliopsida, Poales, Poaceae.
AUACUACUCCCUCCAUCCUAAAAUUCUUAUCUUAGCUUUAUGUAGAAAUGGUUGUAUCGAAGUACUAAAACUUGACUAGAUACAUUCACAUCUAAACAAAUUUAAGACAAGAUUUUUGGGACAGAGGGAGUAUGUU